Molecule: ribosomal RNA, 492 nt
Filed under: uncultured bacterium
Lineage: Bacteria
Description: partial 16S ribosomal RNA
Rfam family: Bacterial small subunit ribosomal RNA
Source: RNAcentral
AGUGAACGCUGGCGGUAGGCCUAACACAUGCAAGUCGAACGGCAGCACAGUAAGAGCUUGCUCUUACGGGUGGCGAGUGGCGGACGGGUGAGGAAUACAUCGGAAUCUACUUUUUCGUGGGGGAUAACGUAGGGAAACUUACGCUAAUACCGCAUACGACCUACGGGUGAAAGCAUGGGAUCUUCGGACCUUGCGCGAUUGAAUGAGCCGAUGUCGGAUUAGCUAGUUGGCGGGGUAAAGGCCCACCAAGGCGACGAUCCGUAGCUGGUCUGAGAGGAUGAUCAGCCACACUGGAACUGAGACACGGUCCAGACUCCUACGGGAGGCAGCAGUGGGGAAUAUUGGACAAUGGGCGCAAGCCUGAUCCAGCCAUACCGCGUGGGUGAAGAAGGCCUUCGGGUUGUAAAGCCCUUUUGUUUGGAAAGAAAAGCAGCAGGUUAAUACCCCGCUGUUCUGACGGUACCCAAAGAAUAAGCACCGGCUAACUUCGUG